Non-coding RNA from Podospora didyma, 88 nucleotides. NCBI's taxonomy places the organism in Eukaryota, Fungi, Ascomycota, Sordariomycetes, Sordariales, Podosporaceae. The record is from the annotation of a GenBank genome assembly.
GCCUGCAUAGCUCAGGGGUAGAGCGUGUCACUCGUAAUCAACUACAGAUUCCAUGACAAGGCCAUCGGUUCAAUUCCGAUUGUAGGCA